RNAcentral lists this ribosomal RNA (640 nucleotides) under uncultured Lactococcus sp. RNAcentral describes it as "bacterial SSU rRNA". It matches the Rfam family "Bacterial small subunit ribosomal RNA", at positions 87 to 715 of the family's 1533-position model. The record is from RNAcentral. Lineage: Bacteria; Bacillati; Bacillota; Bacilli; Lactobacillales; Streptococcaceae.
UAUGAAGAGCGGCGAACGGGUGAGUAACGCGUGGGAAAUCUGCCGAGUAGCGGGGGACAACGUUUGGAAACGAACGCUAAUACCGCAUAACAAUGAGAAUCGCAUGAUUCUUAUUUAAAAGAAGCAAUUGCUUCACUACUUGAUGAUCCCGCGUUGUAUUAGCUAGUUGGUAGUGUAAAGGACUACCAAGGCGAUGAUACAUAGCCGACCUGAGAGGGUGAUCGGCCACACUGGGACUGAGACACGGCCCAGACUCCUACGGGAGGCAGCAGUAGGGAAUCUUCGGCAAUGGGGGCAACCCUGACCGAGCAACGCCGCGUGAGUGAAGAAGGUUUUCGGAUCGUAAAACUCUGUUGUUAGAGAAGAACGUUAAGUAGAGUGGAAAAUUACUUAAGUGACGGUAUCUAACCAGAAAGGGACGGCUAACUACGUGCCAGCAGCCGCGGUAAUACGUAGGUCCCAAGCGUUGUCCGGAUUUAUUGGGCGUAAAGCGAGCGCAGGUGGUUUCUUAAGUCUGGUGUAAAAGGCAGUGGCUCAACCAUUGUGUGCAUUGGAAACUGGGAGGCUUGAGUGCAGGAGAGGAGAGUGGAAUUCCAUGUGUAGCGGUGAAAUGCGUAGAUAUAUGGAGGAACACCGGAGG